This 403-nucleotide ribosomal RNA is filed under the name uncultured bacterium. Its description in RNAcentral is "partial 16S ribosomal RNA". It matches the Rfam family "Bacterial small subunit ribosomal RNA", at positions 28 to 526 of the family's 1533-position model. The record is from RNAcentral.
GACGAACGCUGGCGGCGUGCCUAAUACAUGCAAGUCGAACGCAGUGGGUACGGUUGAGUAACAUUUGGGUAAUCUCCCAUCAGAGGGGAUAACACUUGGAAACAGGUGCUAAACCGCUUGUGAUGGAUGGACCCGCGGUGCAUUAGCUGGUUGGUGAGUUAACUGCUCACCAAGGCCACGAUGCAUAGCCGGCAUGGUAGGGUGAUCGGCCACCCUGGGACUGAGACACGGCCCAGACUCCUACGUGAGGCAGCAGUAGGGAAUCUUCGGCAAUGGACGAAAGUCUGACCGAGCUACGCCGCGUGAGUGAAGAAGGUUUUCGGAUCGUAAAACUCUGUUGUUAGAGAAGCGGUAUCGAACCAGAAAGCCACGGGAAAAUACGUGCCAGCAGCCGCGGUAAUAC